This 71-nucleotide transfer RNA is filed under the name Candidatus Nomurabacteria bacterium RIFCSPHIGHO2_02_FULL_33_12. Its description in RNAcentral is "tRNA-Trp". It matches the Rfam family "tRNA". From Rfam's summary of the family: Transfer RNA (tRNA) molecules are approximately 80 nucleotides in length. RNAcentral also lists the same sequence under 1 other name. Lineage: Bacteria; Candidatus Nomuraibacteriota. The record is from RNAcentral.
GGGCGAUUAGUUUAGUGGUAGAACAGGGGUCUCCAAAACCUCUGGCGGGAGUUCAAUUCUUCCAUCGCCCG